AACGAACGCUGGCGGCAGGCUUAACACAUGCAAGUCGAACGCUCCGCAAGGAGAGUGGCAGACGGGUGAGUAACGCGUGGGAACGUGCCUUUUGGUUCGGAAACAACUUCGGGAAAACUGGAGCUAAUACCGAAUGUGCCCUUCGGGGGAAAGGAUUUAUCGCCAAAAGAUCGGCCCGCGUCAGAUUAGCUAGUUGGUGGGGUAAUGGCCUACCAAGGCGACGAUCUGUAGCUGGUCUGAGAGGAUGAUCAGCCACACUGGGACUGAGACACGGCCCAGACUCCUACGGGAGGCAGCAGUGGGGAAUCUUGGACAAUGGGCGCAAGCCUGAUCCAGCCAUGCCGCGUGAAUGAUGAAGGCUUAGGUGUAAA
RNAcentral lists this ribosomal RNA (371 nucleotides) under uncultured bacterium. RNAcentral describes it as "bacterial SSU rRNA". It matches the Rfam family "Bacterial small subunit ribosomal RNA", at positions 29 to 429 of the family's 1533-position model. The record is from RNAcentral.